AACUCUGGAGAGUCCCGCAACGGGGUGGGAGACCUGCAUCCCCCGGCGUGGGAGCCGAAGGUGCAAAGGCGGCGAGUUUACCGCCCGGUCUCUCAGGCAAAAGGACAGAGAAA
RNAcentral lists this non-coding RNA (113 nucleotides) under human gut metagenome. Its description in RNAcentral is "Glycine riboswitch". It matches the Rfam family "Glycine riboswitch aptamer", at positions 9 to 86 of the family's 94-position model. Rfam says of the family: This family represents the bacterial glycine riboswitch. Glycine riboswitches usually consist of two metabolite-binding aptamers domains with similar structures in tandem. The aptamers cooperatively bind glycine to regulate the expression of downstream genes. The record is from RNAcentral.